This 494-nucleotide ribosomal RNA is filed under the name uncultured bacterium. RNAcentral describes it as "partial 16S ribosomal RNA". It matches the Rfam family "Bacterial small subunit ribosomal RNA", at positions 28 to 507 of the family's 1533-position model. The record is from RNAcentral.
GACGAACGCUGGCGGCGUGCUUAACACAUGCAAGUCGAACGGUGAAGCGCCUUCCUUUUUGGUGGGUGUGGAUGAGUGGCGAACGGGUGAGUAACACGUGAGUAACCUGCCCCCUUCUUCUGGAUAACCGCAUGAAAGCGUGGCUAAUACGGGAUAUUCUGGGUCUGUCGCAUGAUGGGUCUGGGAAAGAUAUUGUUUCGGUGGGGGAUGGGCUCGCGGCCUAUCAGCUUGUUGGUGGGGUGAUGGCCUACCAAGGCGGUGACGGGUAGCCGGCCUGAGAGGGUGGACGGUCACACUGGGACUGAGACACGGCCCAGACUCCUACGGGAGGCAGCAGUGGGGAAUAUUGCACAAUGGGCGCAAGCCUGAUGCAGCGACGCCGCGUGAGGGAUGGAGGCCUUCGGGUUGUGAACCUCUUUCGCCAGUGAAGCAGGCCUGCCUCGUUUGUGGGUGGGUUGACGGUAGCUGGAGAAGAAGCGCCGGCUAACUACGUG